CCCGCUGAACUUAAGCAUAUCAAUAAGCGGAGGAAAAGAAACUAACAAGGAUUCCCCUAGUAACUGCGAGUGAACCGGGAAAAGCUCAAAUUUUGAAUCUGGCGGUCUUCAGGCCGUCCGAGUUGUAAUCUAGAGAAGCGUCUUCCGCGCUGGACCGUGUAUAAGUUUCCUGGAAUGGAACGUCGUAGAGGGUGAGAAUCCCGUCUUUGACACGGACUGCCAGGGCUAUGUGAUGCGCUCUCGGCGAGUCGAGUUGUUUGGGAAUGCAGCUCAAAUAGGGUGGUAAAUUCCAUCUAAAGCUAAAUACAGGCGAGAGACCGAUAGCGAACAAGUACCGUGAGGGAAAGAUGAAAAGAACUUUGAAAAGAGAGUUAAACAGUACGUGAAAUUGUUGAAAGGGAAACGCUUGAAGUCAGUCGUGUCUUUCAGGGAUCAAGUUGCCCCUUUGGGGGUGACCGCACUUCCUGUUGGAUGGGUCAGCAUCAAUUUUGACUGUUGGAUAAAGGCCUAGGUAAUGUGGCAUCUUCGGAUGUGUUAUAGACUUGGGUUGGAUACAACGAUUGGGAUUGAGGAACUCAGUGUGGCCUUUUAUGGUUGCACUCAGGAUGCUGGCAUAAUGGCUUUAAUCGACCCGUCUUGAAACACGG
Molecule: ribosomal RNA, 647 nt
Filed under: uncultured fungus
Lineage: Eukaryota; Fungi
Description: eukaryotic LSU rRNA
Rfam family: Eukaryotic large subunit ribosomal RNA
Source: RNAcentral